GACGAACUUUGGCGGCGUGCUUAACACAUGCAAGUCGAACGGAAAGGCCCUGCUUUUGUGGGGUGCUCGAGUGGCGAACGGGUGAGUAACACGUGAGUAACCUGCCCUUGACUUUGGGAUAACUUCAGGAAACUGGGGCUAAUACCGGAUAGGAGCUCCUGCUGCAUGGUGGGGGUUGGAAAGUUUCGGCGGUUGGGGAUGGACUCGCGGCUUAUCAGCUUGUUGGUGGGGUAGUGGCUUACCAAGGCUUUGACGGGUAGCCGGCCUGAGAGGGUGACCGGCCACAUUGGGACUGAGAUACGGCCCAGACUCCUACGGGAGGCAGCAGUGGGGAAUAUUGCACAAUGGGCGGAAGCCUGAUGCAGCAACGCCGCGUGCGGGAUGACGGCCUUCGGGUUGUAAACCGCUUUCGCCUGUGACGAAGCGUGAGUGACGGUAAUGGGUAAAGAAGCACCGGCUAACUACGUGCCAGCAGCCGCGGUGAUACGUAGGGUGCGAGCGUUGUCCGGAUUUAUUGGGCGUAAAGGGCUCGUAGGUGGUUGAUCGCGUCGGAAGUGUAAUCUUGGGGCUUAACCCUGAGCGUGCUUUCGAUACGGGUUGACUUGAGGAAGGUAGGGGAGAAUGGAAUUCCUGGUGGAGCGGUGGAAUGCGCAGAUAUCAGGAGGAACACCAGUGGCGAAGGCGGUUCUCUGGGCCUUUCCUGACGCUGAGGAGCGAAAGCGUGGGGAGCGAACAGGCUUAGAUACCCUGGUAGUCCACGCUGUAAACGGUGGGUACUAGGUGUGGGGUCCAUUCCACGGGUUCCGUGCCGUAGCUAACGCUUUAAGUACCCCGCCUGGGGAGUACGGCCGCAAGGCUAAAACUCAAAGGAAUUGACGGGGCCCCGCACAAGCGGCGGAGCAUGCGGAUUAAUUCGAUGCAACGCGUAGAACCUUACCUGGGUUUGACAUGGAUCGGGAGUGCUCAGAGAUGGGUGUGCCUCUUUUGGGGUCGGUUCACAGGUGGUGCAUGGCUGUCGUCAGCUCGUGUCGUGAGAUGUUGGGUUAAGUCCCGCAACGAGCGCAACCCUUGUUCACUGUUGCCAGCACGUUAUGGUGGGGACUCAGUGGAGACCGCCGGGGUCAACUCGGAGGAAGGUGGGGAUGACGUCAAGUCAUCAUGCCCCUUAUGUCCAGGGCUUCACGCAUGCUACAAUGGCUGGUACAGAGAGUGGCGAGCCUGUGAGGGUGAGCGAAUCUCGGAAAGCCGGUCUCAGUUCGGAUUGGGGUCUGCAACUCGACCUCAUGAAGUCGGAGUCGCUAGUAAUCGCAGAUCAGCAACGCUGCGGUGAAUACGUUCCCGGGGCU
Molecule: ribosomal RNA, 1346 nt
Filed under: uncultured bacterium
Lineage: Bacteria
Description: partial 16S ribosomal RNA
Rfam family: Bacterial small subunit ribosomal RNA
Source: RNAcentral